RNAcentral lists this non-coding RNA (148 nucleotides) under Pseudohaemophilus sputorum. RNAcentral's name for it is "Haemophilus sputorum MoCo sequence". It matches the Rfam family "Molybdenum/Tungsten riboswitch aptamer (Moco RNA motif)". Lineage: Bacteria; Pseudomonadati; Pseudomonadota; Gammaproteobacteria; Pasteurellales; Pasteurellaceae. The record is from RNAcentral.
UUUUAAUUUAGGCUCCGAGCUUGUUUACCUAAGUUGCGAAAAUAAGGUAACAAUGCCGCAUCAAGCAGAAAAUAUACUAUUUGGUGCCGGGAAGUUUUGGAAACGGAACUUCCUCUCGUGUUUAGAAAGGUGUCCAUGCAAACUAUUC